UGAAAGCGCUGUGCAGGUUGGUUUCUAGG
RNAcentral lists this non-coding RNA (29 nucleotides) under Rattus norvegicus (Norway rat). The record is from RNAcentral. Lineage: Eukaryota; Metazoa; Chordata; Mammalia; Rodentia; Muridae.